GAAAGCCACCAUGCUGGGUAAA
RNAcentral lists this microRNA (22 nucleotides) under Mus musculus (house mouse). RNAcentral's name for it is "mmu-miR-742-3p". Its record names the gene mmu-miR-742-3p. The record is from miRBase by way of RNAcentral. Lineage: Eukaryota; Metazoa; Chordata; Mammalia; Rodentia; Muridae.